Molecule: small nuclear RNA, 109 nt
Filed under: Zalophus californianus (California sea lion)
Lineage: Eukaryota; Metazoa; Chordata; Mammalia; Carnivora; Otariidae
Also listed under: 1 other name
Source: RNAcentral
GUGCUCACUUAGGCAGCACACAUACUAAAUUUGGAAUGAUGCAGAGCAGAUUAGCAUGGCCCCUGUGCAAGGAUGACAUGUGAAAUACACUGAAUCUAUAAAAACCAAU